UGAAAAAAAUAAAAAGAAUGAGUAGCAGGAACCUCCGAUUCUGUUGCCUCCCUAUGGAAAGAGACUGUUAGUCUGUACUUGACGGUCCUCGAGGGGUCUAUGAGGUGUAUUGGAUCAGCAUGACGAGUCUGGUCGAAAAGAGCAUGCAAUUUACCUUAGCAAAAAGUUUACCGACUGUGAAACAAUACAUUCACUAUCCGAGAAAACUUGAUGUACUUUGGC
Molecule: long non-coding RNA, 222 nt
Filed under: Lathyrus oleraceus (garden pea)
Lineage: Eukaryota; Viridiplantae; Streptophyta; Magnoliopsida; Fabales; Fabaceae
Description: Pisum sativum (pea) long non-coding RNA (PSAT_LNC028982)
Source: RNAcentral